Molecule: long non-coding RNA, 637 nt
Filed under: Oryza brachyantha (malo sina)
Lineage: Eukaryota; Viridiplantae; Streptophyta; Magnoliopsida; Poales; Poaceae
Description: long non-coding RNA (OBRA_LNC001378)
Source: RNAcentral
UAAAUAUGUCAUUAUAAUUUCUUGAAACAUAUCAUUUUAUACGCCUUAAAGAGCUAUAUUAGGCCCACAUGCAUACUAAUGUAAUUCUAUAUUGACCAAAAUGUCCAUACUGCUAAGUGCUGGAUUAAAGUGGGUGGUAGCAGGUGGCCGGUGCGGAUGUGCGGGCGGCGCGGGCGGCUCGGCGACGUCGGAGUUGACAGCGGCGGACGAGCGGCGCGCCGACGGCUGCAGCCAAGCGGAGGCGACAGCAGCGAGGGGCGGACCCCACCCGGAGGGUCGUCAGCCGGCGCAAUCGAUGGCGACGGACAGGCGGUGCACUGACCGCGGUGGCGGGUGGACGACGCAGUCGACAGCAGUGAGCAGGCGGCGCGCUGACGGUGAAGGCGACGGAGGCGGGUGGCCGGUGCGCUGACGUCGAUGGCGGGGUUGGGGGCGGUCGAGAGGGGGUGCGGGGACGACGUAAGGAGGAAGAAUGGGACGGCAAAGGAGGGAAGCAGAGGACGGCGAGGACGAUGUCACCAGUGCAGGAGGUGGAGAAGACGGCGCGGGCGAGGUCGGAGGUCGGGGGGCGCGGCGGAGAGGAGCCGGAGCAGUUCGCCAGUGGCGGAGCGGUGGGGUUGAGUGAGUGGAAGAAGAG